Molecule: long non-coding RNA, 2017 nt
Organism: Felis catus (domestic cat)
Lineage: Eukaryota; Metazoa; Chordata; Mammalia; Carnivora; Felidae
Exons: 7
Source: RefSeq, a predicted model, not a curated record
GUCAGCCUGGAGCCCGCUUUGGAUCCUCUGCCCCCUCUCUCCCUGCCCCUCCCCCGCUUACACACACACAUUGUCUGUCUCUCUCUCAAAAAUAAAGAAACAUUAAAAAAGAAGGAACUAUAACCCCAAAGGACUGCUGUGAUUUGCUCUGUGGCUGCCGCCCAGUGGAAUUUAACAAGAAGAAGAACUUCAUGGUUUAUUUGCUGUAAUGGAUUGUCUAGUAUCCUCCCCAAAUCCCUGUUCACCCAGAAUCUUAGAAUGUGCCAUUAUUUGGAAGUAGAGUCUUUGCAGAUAUAAUUUAAGUAAGGUGAGGUCACACCAGAUUAGGGUAGACCUGAAGUCCAGUGACUGGCAUCCUCAUGAGAAGAAGAAAGGGUAGACAGAGGCACACAGGGAAGAAAGCCGUAUGAAGGUGGAAGCAGAGAUUGGAAUGAUGUGUCCACAAGCCAAGGGACACCACAGAUUUCCGGGAGCUAUCAGAAGCUACGAGAAAAGCAUGGAACAAAUUCUCCCCCUGAGCCGCCAGAAGGAAUCAACCCUGAUUUCAGGGAAAAAUGUUUCCAAAGGAGCUUGAAAAUCAUUGAAGGGAUUGAAUGUCCCUCCAGUAGCCCCCUGGGAUACAUCUAGAGGGCACUGUUGAAGACGCUGUGCUGUCUUACUCUCUGCCUCCCAUGGAUUUUUCAUCCCGUGGGAUAAGCAAAGAACACAGUAGCCGUAACAUCACGCAGGAUAAAAGAGCCAUAACAAGAGACUAACAAGGGUAAUUUGCUACGGGACACUUGACACAGCAGGAAAUGGGGGGAGCAGAAAGCGUAAGAACAGCUGGAACACCUGGAGAAAUGCUAUACUUGCACCGGACUGUGGAUUCAACAUCUUCAUUUCGUUUGCUACCUGGCAAGGGUUAGCUCAAGUUUUGAAGACGUGGAUGUACAUCAUGCUCCUAACUAAAGAAACACUUGGCCCUGCUGAAAGGAAAGAAACAUUCCUUUUCUGUUGUAUCACAUCCUAACAUAAUUGGAGAGUAUCUACUGAAGGCCUACUAUGUUCCCCUACUCAGCUAAGUGCCGUCGGAUACAUGGAAUCCAAGGACUUCUGAGAGCUGCUGAAGAAAAAUCACCACCCCUAGGUGGACUGAUGCCAUGACAAAUCAUGGUUUCCAGAAUCACCUGGACUUCCUUUGAACCCAGUUUCCCUGCAUCAGAGAAAACUCUUUCCCUUCCUGCAGUGGCUAUUCUAAAGUUUCGACGGAAUCCUCACAUCCUUUAUCUUCCUCACAUCUCAUCUGCUUUUAGCAAAUGUCCUCACUAUGAAAAUCAUGACUAUCAGCAGCCAUGUUGUGAUGAUGAGGGACAAGCAUAAGAUGGAAAGGAAACAGAUCGAAGACGUAAUGCCGAAAGCUGGGAAGAACUGGUGUCUUUAAGAACAUUUUUGAGCCACUGCGUAACAAAUUCCAAGGCUGAACUUUAAUACUUAUAUGAGAUAAUAAUAAUAGCAGGGGUGAAAUCUGCUGGUGUUUAAAAGCUACCACACUUUGAGAAGUGGCCAGUUUUUUUCUUUUUUCUUUUUCCUUUUCCACAGCAGCACUUGUCAGAGAUUGAAAAACAAUAGAUCAGUGAGGAGGGUCAUUAAGUAGGAAGAGGUGGGGAAUUAUUUCCUAACAAUCAGGAUUGAAUAUCAGCAAUCUUGUUGUUGCUGUUCUCACUACACUGAGCGCCUGAUGUAUGCAUUACUAUUGAAUGUGAACUAAUUAUUCUGGCCUUUAUGUCCACGAGUAUAGAAAUUUCCAGAAGGAAAACAUGGUGAUAAAGUGUUCUGCUAACCUCAAAGUCUUCCACAACAUGUAUUAGACUCCUAGCCCGAUCAACUCUGCUAUAUCUGCUUCUUCAAAGGAGCUUCUUGCAAGUGAAAGGGCGGGCCUACGCCAGCCGACUCCAUCUUGUUCUGUGUCCUUCACCUUGACCACACCUCCUCCCCUCGAGUAAACCCUCCCUCACCUGCCGGACCCUUCCCCAGGACC